RNAcentral lists this ribosomal RNA (450 nucleotides) under uncultured Propionivibrio sp. Its description in RNAcentral is "bacterial SSU rRNA". It matches the Rfam family "Bacterial small subunit ribosomal RNA", at positions 930 to 1382 of the family's 1533-position model. Lineage: Bacteria; Pseudomonadati; Pseudomonadota; Betaproteobacteria; Rhodocyclales; Rhodocyclaceae. The record is from RNAcentral.
CGGUGGAUGAUGUGAUUAAUUCGAUGCAACGCGAAAAACCUUACCUACCCUUGACAGUGUCUGGAACCUUGGUGAGAGCCGAGGUGCCUUCGGGAGCCAGAACACAGGUGCUGCAUGGCUGUCGUCAGCUCGUGUCGUGAGAUGUUGGGUUAAGUCCCGCAACGAGCGCAACCCUUGUCAUUAAUUGCCAUCAUUCAGUUGGGCACUUUAAUGAGACUGCCGGUGACAAACCGGAGGAAGGUGGGGAUGACGUCAAGUCCUCAUGGCCCUUAUGGGUAGGGCUUCACACGUAAUACAAUGGUCGGUACAGAGGGUUGCCAACCCGCGAGGGGGAGCCAAUCCCGGAAAACCGAUCGUAGUCCGGAUUGCAGUCUGCAACUCGACUGCAUGAAGUCGGAAUCGCUAGUAAUCGCGGAUCAGCAUGUCGCGGUGAAUACGUUCCCGGGCCUU